AGAGUUUGAUCCUGGCUCAGGACGAACGCUGGCGGCGUGCUUAACACAUGCAAGUCGAACGGAAAGGCCCCUUUGGGGGUGCUCGAGUGGCGAACGGGUGAGUAACACGUGGGUGAUCUGCCCUGCACUUCGGGAUAAGCUUGGGAAACUGGGUCUAAUACCGGAUAGGACCAUGGCCUGCAUGGGUUGUGGUGGAAAGUUUUUAAUGGUGUGGGAUGGGCCCGCGGCCUAUCAGCUUGUUGGUGGGGUGAUGGCCUACCAAGGCGACGACGGGUAGCCGGCCUGAGAGGGUGUCCGGCCACACUGGGACUGAGAUACGGCCCAGACUCCUACGGGAGGCAGCAGUGGGGAAUAUUGCACAAUGGGCGCAAGCCUGAUGCAGCGACGCCGCGUGGGGGAUGACGGCCUUCGGGUUGUAAACCUCUUUCACCAUCGACGAAGGCCUGCUUUUUGGGUGGGUUGACGGUAGGUGGAGAAGAAGCACCGGCCAACUACGUGCCAGCAGCCGCGGUAAUACGUAGGGUGCGAGCGUUGUCCGGAAUUACUGGGCGUAAAGAGCUCGUAGGUGGUUUGUCGCGUUGUUCGUGAAAUUCCCUGGCUUAACUGGGGGCGUGCGGGCGAUACGGGCAGACUGGAGUACUGCAGGGGAGACUGGAAUUCCUGGUGUAGCGGUGGAAUGCGCAGAUAUCAGGAGGAACACCGGUGGCGAAGGCGGGUCUCUGGGCAGUAACUGACGCUGAGGAGCGAAAGCGUGGGGAGCGAACAGGAUUAGAUACCCUAGUAGUCC
RNAcentral lists this ribosomal RNA (787 nucleotides) under uncultured bacterium. Its description in RNAcentral is "bacterial SSU rRNA". It matches the Rfam family "Bacterial small subunit ribosomal RNA", at positions 8 to 796 of the family's 1533-position model. The record is from RNAcentral.